Molecule: long non-coding RNA, 1172 nt
Organism: Pan troglodytes (chimpanzee)
Lineage: Eukaryota; Metazoa; Chordata; Mammalia; Primates; Hominidae
Exons: 5
Source: RefSeq, a predicted model, not a curated record
CCGGAAGUGGGGGGGUUGUCUGCUCUCAGGCCCCGCCUCCCCGGGGCCGGCUCGGGCCACGUCUCGCGCGCUGCCAGAAGGAGCUAUUUUGAGCAGACAGGAUCUUUCUCUUAUCAUCCAGGCUGGACUGUGGUGGCACAAUUAUGGCUCAUUGCAGCCUUGAUCUCCAAGGCUCACACCAUCCUCCAACCUCAGCCUCCCAAGUAGCUGGGACUAUGGGUGUGCACUAUCCUCAGAUGGAGUUUUGCUGUUCUUGCCCAGGCUGGAGUGCAACAGCGUGAUCUCAGCUCACUGCAACCUCCACCUCCCGGGUUCAAGUGAUCCUGCUGCCUCAGCCUCCCGAGUAGCUGGGAUUACAGGCAUAUGCCACCACAGGCGUGAGGCGUGAGCCACCACACCUGGCCAUGCCCAGCUUCAAGGAGACUCUGCAUUCAAAAGACCACUCCCGGGCACUGCCUUCUACCAACUUCCCCAUCCAACUCUGAUUGCAUCGGACCACUGUCUUCCCUCCAUGCCUCCAGCCCUGAGGUUGUCAACGGGGUGCUCCAGCCUCCAUGUGCACCCUGUGACUUCCUUCAUCCUAGUCCUGCUGACCCUCGUGGCUUCUCCUGCUCCAAGGCCAAGCUCGGGACCCUGUCAUCAUCCCCGGGGACAGGCCCCAUCUUAGAGAGAAUCCACCCAGCUCCCCACUCCUGAGCCAUCUUCCAGCUAUCCCGCCUCGAGACUCCCACCGCACCUGCUCCUGGGCUGCAGCUGCACCCAACAAGUCAACAUGUGGAUUGCUUCUAGAAUUUGGAUAUUAUGAACACUGCUGUGCUGAACAUUCUUGUACACUUAUAUGGUUUGGCUGUGUCCCCACCCAAAUCUCAUCUUGAAUUGUAGCUCCCAUAAUUCCUAUGUGUCGUGGGAGGGACCCAAUGGGAGGUAAUUGAAUCAUAGGGGCAGGUCUUUCCCCUGCUAUCCUUGUGAUAGUGAAUAAGUCUCAUGAGAUCUGAUGGUUUUAUACAUGGGAGUUCCCCUGCACAAUACAUGGGAGUUCCCCUGCACAAGCCCUCUUGUCUGCCACCAUGUAAGAUGUGCCUUUGCUUCUCCUCUGCCUUCCACCAUAAUUGUGAGGACUCCCCAACCAUGUGGAACUGUGAGUCCAUUAAACCUCUUUCCUUUGUAAAUUA